GGGCGGUUAGUUCAGUUGGCAGAACAGGCGAAACUUCCACGGGGAAGAAGCCAUGGUCCGCGGUUCGAGUCCGCGACCGCCCA
This 83-nucleotide transfer RNA is filed under the name Candidatus Paraprevotella stercorigallinarum. RNAcentral describes it as "tRNA-OTHER". It matches the Rfam family "tRNA". From Rfam's summary of the family: Transfer RNA (tRNA) molecules are approximately 80 nucleotides in length. Their secondary structure includes four short double-helical elements and three loops (D, anti-codon, and T loops). Lineage: Bacteria; Pseudomonadati; Bacteroidota; Bacteroidia; Bacteroidales; Prevotellaceae. The record is from RNAcentral.